RNAcentral lists this ribosomal RNA (485 nucleotides) under soil fungal sp. DM111. Its description in RNAcentral is "eukaryotic LSU rRNA". It matches the Rfam family "Eukaryotic large subunit ribosomal RNA", at positions 145 to 652 of the family's 3401-position model. The record is from RNAcentral. Lineage: Eukaryota; Fungi.
GUAAUUUGCAGAGGAUGCUUUUGACGCGGUGCCUUCCGAGUUCCCUGGAACGGGACGCCAUAGAGGGUGAGAGCCCCGUCUGGUCGGACACCAAGUCAGUGUAAAGCUCCUUCGACGAGUCGAGUAGUUUGGGAAUGCUGCUCUAAAUGGGAGGUAUAUGUCUUCUAAAGCUAAAUACCGGCCAGAGACCGAUAGCGCACAAGUAGAGUGAUCGAAAGAUGAAAAGCACUUUGAAAAGAGGGUUAAACAGUACGUGAAAUUGUUGAAAGGGAAGCACUUAUGACCAGACUUGGGCCCGGUGAAUCAUCCAGCGUUCUCGCUGGUGCACUUUGCCGGGCUCAGGCCAGCAUCAGUUCGCCGCGGGGGAUAAAAGCUUCGGGAACGUGGCUCCCUCGGGAGUGUUAUAGCCCGUUGCAUAAUACCCUGUGGCGGACUGAGGUUCGCGCUCCGCAAGGAUGCUGGCGUAAUGGUCAUCAGCGACCCGU